CCUACGGGAGGCAGCAGUGAGGAAUAUUGGUCAAUGGCCGCAGGGCUGAACCAGCCAAGUCGCGUGAGGGAUGACGGUCCUAUGGAUUGUAAACCUCUUUUGUCAGGGAGCAAUGGGCGCUACGUGUGGCGUUUUCCGAGUACCCGAAGGAAAAGCAUCGGCCAACCCCGGGCCAGCAGCCGCGGUUAUUCGGAGGAUGCGAGCGGUAUCCGGAUUUAUUGGGUUUAAAGGGUGCGGAGGCGGAAUGUCAAGUCAGCGGUAAAAUUUCGGGGCUCAACCCCGUCGUGCCGUUGAAACUGGCGUUCUUGAGUGGGCGAGAAGUAUGCGGAAUGCGUGGUGUAGCGGUGAAAUGCAUAGAUAUCACGCAGAACUCCGAUUGCGAAGGCAGCAUACCGGCGCUCAACUGACGCUGAAGCACGAAAGCGUGGGUAUCGAACAGGAUUAGAUACCCUGGUAGUC
RNAcentral lists this ribosomal RNA (459 nucleotides) under uncultured bacterium. RNAcentral describes it as "partial 16S ribosomal RNA". It matches the Rfam family "Bacterial small subunit ribosomal RNA", at positions 338 to 795 of the family's 1533-position model. The record is from RNAcentral.